Non-coding RNA from Aedes albopictus (Asian tiger mosquito), 58 nucleotides. NCBI's taxonomy places the organism in Eukaryota, Metazoa, Arthropoda, Insecta, Diptera, Culicidae. The record is from Rfam.
UAGCCUAGUGGUCAAGGCUUUGGAUCGCCAAUCCGGAGACGGCGGGUUCGAUUCCCGU